AAAGUCGUAACAAGGUUUCCGUAGGUGAACCUGCGGAAGGAUCAUUACCAUUUGCUCACGGGUGCAGUCUUGGGAAACCUGGCGGCCCCGAGCUUACCAUCCCUGCUUAUCCACACCUCAUGUUACCUUCGGCAGGGCAACCUGCCGCUGGACAACUCCAAACCCACUGUAUCCAGUAUCCACCUUCCGAGCAUUUGAAUUAUCACAACUUUCAACAACGGAUCUCUUGGCUCUG
RNAcentral lists this unclassified non-coding RNA (235 nucleotides) under Ascomycota sp. RNAcentral's name for it is "partial contains small subunit ribosomal RNA, internal transcribed spacer 1, and 5.8S ribosomal RNA". The stretch from base 1 to 47 matches the Rfam family "Eukaryotic small subunit ribosomal RNA", at positions 1785 to 1831 of the family's 1831-position model. The record is from RNAcentral. Lineage: Eukaryota; Fungi; Ascomycota.